AGUGAACGCUGGCGGUAGGCCUAACACAUGCAAGUCGAACGGCAGCACAGUAAGAGCUUGCUCUUACGGGUGGCGAGUGGCGGACGGGUGAGGAAUACAUCGGAAUCUACUUUUUCGUGGGGGAUAACGUAGGUAAACUUACGCUAAUACCGCAUACGACCUACGGGUGAAAGCAGGGGAUCUUCGGACCUUGCGCGAAUGAAUGCGCGGAUUUCGGUUUAGCUAGUUGGCGGGGUAAAGGCCCACCAAGUCGACGAUCCGUAGCUGGUCUGAGAGGAUGAUCAGCCACCCUGGAACUGAGACACGGUCCAGACUCCUACGGGAGGCAGCAGUGGGGAAUAUUGGACAAUGGGCGCAAGCCUGAUCCAGCCAGACCGCGUGGGUGAAGAAGGCCUUCGGGUUGUAAAGCCCUUUUGUUGGGAAAGAAAAGCAGCAGGUUAAUACCCAGCUGUUCUGACGGUACCCAAAGAAUAAGCACCGGCUAACUUCGUG
This 492-nucleotide ribosomal RNA is filed under the name uncultured bacterium. RNAcentral's name for it is "partial 16S ribosomal RNA". It matches the Rfam family "Bacterial small subunit ribosomal RNA", at positions 29 to 507 of the family's 1533-position model. The record is from RNAcentral.